Molecule: ribosomal RNA, 534 nt
Filed under: Sphingobium sp. E1
Lineage: Bacteria; Pseudomonadati; Pseudomonadota; Alphaproteobacteria; Sphingomonadales; Sphingobiaceae
Description: bacterial SSU rRNA
Rfam family: Bacterial small subunit ribosomal RNA
Source: RNAcentral
ACGCUGGCGGCAUGCCUAAUACAUGCAAGUCGAACGAGAUCUUCGGAUCUAGUGGCGCACGGGUGCGUAACGCGUGGGAAUCUGCCCUUGGGUUCGGAAUAACAGUUAGAAAUGACUGCUAAUACCGGAUGAUGACGUAAGUCCAAAGAUUUAUCGCCCAGGGAUGAGCCCGCGUAGGAUUAGCUAGUUGGUGAGGUAAAGGCUCACCAAGGCUACGAUCCUUAGCUGGUCUGAGAGGAUGAUCAGCCACACUGGGACUGAGACACGGCCCAGACUCCUACGGGAGGCAGCAGUAGGGAAUAUUGGACAAUGGGGGCAACCCUGAUCCAGCAAUGCCGCGUGAGCGAUGAAGGCCUUAGGGUUGUAAAGCUCUUUUACCCGGGAUGAUAAUGACAGUACCGGGAGAAUAAGCCCCGGCUAACUCCGUGCCAGCAGCCGCGGUAAUACGGAGGGGGCUAGCGUUGUUCGGAAUUACUGGGCGUAAAGCGCACGUAGGCGGCUAUUCAAGUCAGAGGUGAAAGCCCGGGGCUCAAC